GCUGCUGUAGCUCAAUGGUAGAGCAUCCUCUUGUAUUGCCAAGCCCCGGAUGGGAAGUGUUUAUGAGGGUGGUGUGGGUUCGAAUCCCACCAGUGGCA
Mycena polygramma is the source of this 98-nucleotide non-coding RNA. The record is from the annotation of a GenBank genome assembly. NCBI's taxonomy places the organism in Eukaryota, Fungi, Basidiomycota, Agaricomycetes, Agaricales, Mycenaceae.